RNAcentral lists this ribosomal RNA (572 nucleotides) under uncultured bacterium. RNAcentral's name for it is "partial 16S ribosomal RNA". It matches the Rfam family "Bacterial small subunit ribosomal RNA", at positions 355 to 920 of the family's 1533-position model. The record is from RNAcentral.
UGGGGAAUUUUGGACAAUGGGCGAAAGCCUGAUCCAGCAAUGCCGCGUGUGUGAAGAAGGCCUUCGGGUUGUAAAGCACUUUUGUCCGGAAAGAAAUCCUCUGGGUUAAUACCUCGGGGGGAUGACGGUACCGGAAGAAUAAGCACCGGCUAACUACGUGCCAGCAGCCGCGGUAAUACGUAGGGUGCAAGCGUUAAUCGGAAUUACUGGGCGUAAAGCGUGCGCAGGCGGUUUUGUAAGACGGAUGUGAAAUCCCCGGGCUUAACCUGGGAACUGCAUUCGUGACUGCAAGGCUAGAGUAUGGCAGAGGGGGGUAGAAUUCCACGUGUAGCAGUGAAAUGCGUAGAGAUGUGGAGGAAUACCGAUGGCGAAGGCAGCCCCCUGGGCCAAUACUGACGCUCAUGCACGAAAGCGUGGGGAGCAAACAGGAUUAGAUACCCUGGUAGUCCACGCCCUAAACGAUGUCAACUAGUUGUCGGGUCUUCAUUGACUUGGUAACGUAGCUAACGCGUGAAGUUGACCGCCUGGGGAGUACGGUCGCAAGAUUAAAACUCAAAGGAAUUGACGGGGUC